Molecule: ribosomal RNA, 468 nt
Filed under: uncultured bacterium
Lineage: Bacteria
Description: partial 16S ribosomal RNA
Rfam family: Bacterial small subunit ribosomal RNA
Source: RNAcentral
GACGAACGCUGGCGGCGUGCUUAACACAUGCAAGUCGAACGGAAAGGCCCUGCUUUUGUGGGGUGCUCGAGUGGCGAACGGGUGAGUAACACGUGAGUAACCUGCCCUUGACUUUGGGAUAACUUCAGGAAACUGGGGCUAAUACCGGAUAGGAGCUCCUGCUGCAUGGUGGGGGUUGGAAAGUUUCGGCGGUUGGGGAUGGACUCGCGGCUUAUCAGCUUGUUGGUGGGGUAGUGGCUUACCAAGGCUUUGACGGGUAGCCGGCCUGAGAGGGUGACCGGCCACAAUGGGACUGCGGUACGGCCCAGACUCCUACGGGGGGCAGCGGUGGGGAAUAUUGCACAAUGGGCGGAAGCCUGAUGCAGCAACGCCGCGUUCGGGAUGACGGCCUUCGGGUUGUAAACCGCUUUCGCCUGUGACGAAGCGUGAGUGACGGUAAUGGGUAAAGAAGCACCGGCUAACUACGUG